Molecule: ribosomal RNA, 335 nt
Filed under: uncultured prokaryote
Description: bacterial SSU rRNA
Rfam family: Bacterial small subunit ribosomal RNA
Source: RNAcentral
AGGACGAACGCUGGCGGCGUGCCUAAUACAUGCAAGUCGAACGAGAUCCAUCUGGUGGCAACACCAGAGAAGAUCGAGUGGCGAACGGGUGAGUACCACGUGAGCAACCUGUCCCGAAGACCGGGAUAACACCGGGAAACCGGUGCUAAUACCGGAUAUCCCCAUCAGGUCGCAUGGCCAGGUGAGGAAAUGGGUUUCCGCUUCGGGAGGGGCUCGCGGCCUAUCAGCUUGUUGGCAGGGUAAUGGCCUACCAAGGCAACGACGGGUAGCUGGUCUGAGAGGACGACCAGCCACACUGGGACUGAGACACGGCCCAGACUCCUACGGGAGGCAGC